Molecule: ribosomal RNA, 254 nt
Filed under: uncultured bacterium
Lineage: Bacteria
Description: partial 16S ribosomal RNA
Rfam family: Bacterial small subunit ribosomal RNA
Source: RNAcentral
UACGUAGGAUCCAAGCGUUAUCCGGAAUUACUGGGCGUAAAGAGUUGCGUAGGUGGUUAUGUAAGCGAAUAGUGAAAUCGUGUGGCUCAACCAUACGGCUGUUAUUCGAACUACAUGACUUGAGUGCGAGAGAGGUAACUGGAAUUUCUAGUGUAGGAGUGAAAUCCGUAGAUAUUAGAAGGAACACCAAUGGCGAAGGCAGGUUACUGGCUCGUUACUGACACUGAGGCACGAAAGCGUGGGGAGCAAACGGG